GUGCUCGCUUUGGCAGCACAUAUACUAAAGUUGGAACAAUACAGAGAAGAUUAACACGGCCCCUGCACAAGGAUGACACGCAAAUUCGUGAAGCGUUCCAUAUUUAA
This 107-nucleotide small nuclear RNA is filed under the name Chinchilla lanigera (long-tailed chinchilla). Lineage: Eukaryota; Metazoa; Chordata; Mammalia; Rodentia; Chinchillidae. The record is from RNAcentral.